GACAGAGGUGCCGAGCGUUAGGCGGAAUCACUGGGCUUAAAGCGUGUGUAGGCGGGCCGUUAAGUGUCUUGUGAAAUCCCCCGGCUCAACCGGGGAAUUGCUGGGCAUACUGGCGGUCUUGAGCAAUCUAGGGGCAGAUGGAACAAGUGGUGGAGCGGUGAAAUGCGUAGAUAUCACUUGGAACGCCAAAGGUGAAGACAGUCUGCUGGGGAUUUGCUGACGCUGAGACACGAAAGCCAGGGGAGCAAACGGG
This 253-nucleotide ribosomal RNA is filed under the name uncultured bacterium. RNAcentral's name for it is "partial 16S ribosomal RNA". It matches the Rfam family "Bacterial small subunit ribosomal RNA", at positions 524 to 776 of the family's 1533-position model. The record is from RNAcentral.